Molecule: unclassified non-coding RNA, 240 nt
Filed under: soil metagenome
Description: partial contains 5.8S ribosomal RNA, internal transcribed spacer 2, and large subunit ribosomal RNA
Source: RNAcentral
AACCAUUCUCACCUGCGGCUAGACCUGCGGAGGGAUCAUUACCGAGUGUGAACCCCCCCGUAAAAAAGAGGGGUUACCUCCCGUCCUUUGCUGGGAACCCCUUUCCAACUUGGAAGGAGGUUGUUUUCAGACCCUUCUGCUUCGGUGGGGUAACCCACCGGAACAACCUCAAAAAUAUUCUCAAUUCAAAACCGUUCAGUCCGAGAACUUUUUUGAAAAGCGAAAAAACUUUCAACAACG